This 505-nucleotide ribosomal RNA is filed under the name uncultured bacterium. Its description in RNAcentral is "bacterial SSU rRNA". It matches the Rfam family "Bacterial small subunit ribosomal RNA", at positions 8 to 518 of the family's 1533-position model. The record is from RNAcentral.
AGAGUUUGAUCAUGGCUCAGGAUGAACGCUAGCUACAGGCUUAACACAUGCAAGCCGAGCGGAACAGCUUCGGCAGUUAGCGGCAGACGGGUGAGUAACACGUAUCCAACCUCCCCCUUACUCGGGUAUAGCCUCGGGAAACUGAGAGUAAUCCCCGAUGUGGUGUACGCUUCGCAUGUAAUGCACACCAAAGAUUAAUCGGUAAGGGAUGGGGAUGCGUUCCAUUAGCUAGUAGGCGGGGUAACGGCCCACCUAGGCGAUGAUGGAUAGGGGUUCUGAGAGGAAGGUCCCCCACAUUGGAACUGCGACACGGUCCAAACUCCUACGGGAGGCAGCAGUGAGGAAUAUUGGUCAAUGGCCGAGAGGCUGAACCAGCCAAGUAGCGUGCAGGAAUGACGGCCCUACGGGUUGUAAACUGCUUUUGUGCGGGAAUAACGGUCGACACGUGUGUUGAUGUGCAUGUACCGUACGAAUAAGGAUCGGCUAACUCCGUGCCAGCAGCCGC